This 324-nucleotide long non-coding RNA is filed under the name Salvia miltiorrhiza (redroot sage). RNAcentral describes it as "long non-coding RNA (SMIL_LNC000659)". Lineage: Eukaryota; Viridiplantae; Streptophyta; Magnoliopsida; Lamiales; Lamiaceae. The record is from RNAcentral.
AAUUCUAUAUGCUAAUAUUAUUUUUAAUACUACAUGAUUUAAUUUAUGUUAGGCUUUAAUUAUUUAAAUGUGUUAGGCUUUGACAAAUAUUAUUUUGGGCCCUAGUUUUAAUUAAGUCUUCCUUGUUAAUAAUUAAGCCCAAAAGUCAUUUUUCCUAAAAAAAAAAAAAAAAAAAAAAAAGAAACCCAUCUCAACCAUGCGCGUACAGCACCUCCAUUUUGACUCCUUCACCCAUCUCAACCAUGCGCGUACAGCACCUCCAUUUUGACUCCUUCACCCAUCUCAACCAUGCGCCCACUCUUUUGCACGCUUCCUACCAUUUUU